Molecule: ribosomal RNA, 489 nt
Filed under: uncultured bacterium
Lineage: Bacteria
Description: bacterial SSU rRNA
Rfam family: Bacterial small subunit ribosomal RNA
Source: RNAcentral
GGAUGAAGGCCCCUCGGGUUGUAAACUGCUUUUGUACAGAACGAAAAAGCUCUGGCUAAUACCUGGAGUCCAUGACGGUACUGUAAGAAUAAGCACCGGCUAACUACGUGCCAGCAGCCGCGGGUAAUACGUAGGGUGCAAGCGUUAAUCGGAAUUACUGGGCGUAAAGCGUGCGCAGGCGGUUUUGUAAGACAGAGGUGAAAUCCCCGGGCUCAACCUGGGAACUGCCUUUGUGACUGACAAGGCUGGAGUGCGGCAGAGGGGGAUGGAAUUCCGCGUGUAGCAGUGAAAAUGCGUAGAUAUGCGGAGGAACACCGAUGGCGAAGGGCAAUCCCCCUGGGGCCUGCACUGACGCUCAUGCACGAAAGCGUGGGGGAGCAAACAGGGAUUAGAUACCCUGGUAGUCCACGCCCUAAACGAUGUCAACUGGUUGUUGGGGUCUUGACUGACUCAGUAACGAAGCUAACGCGUGAAGUUGACCGCCUGGGG